GCAGUCUGAACCAGCCAUGCCGCGUGGAGGAUUAAGGCCCUCUGGGUUGUAAACUCCUUUUAUCUGGGAAGAAAUGUACUUUUUCUUGAGUACUUGACGGUACCAGAGGAAUAAGCACCGGCUAACUCCAUGCCAGCAGCCGCGGUAAU
RNAcentral lists this ribosomal RNA (149 nucleotides) under uncultured soil bacterium. Its description in RNAcentral is "partial 16S ribosomal RNA". It matches the Rfam family "Bacterial small subunit ribosomal RNA", at positions 378 to 524 of the family's 1533-position model. The record is from RNAcentral.